This is a long non-coding RNA of Etheostoma cragini (Arkansas darter), 201 nucleotides long. RefSeq lists it as uncharacterized. NCBI's taxonomy places the organism in Eukaryota, Metazoa, Chordata, Actinopteri, Perciformes, Percidae. The transcript has 2 exons. The record is from RefSeq and is a predicted model, not a curated record.
CACAGGAUGGCAGCGCUCCACCAUCUGCCUCCGUGUUAUCACGCCAAGCCAGACGAGGAAAACAACGUGAACAUGAGGAGCUGCUGGACUACAUGGAGAAGGCUGACGAUAAGCUGACAUGGUGGCAAAGAUGGAGGCAGACACAAGCGCUCUGCUUGGGCUCAUGGGGCGCAUGGUGGCAAUGAUGGAGGCGCAAGCAAA